GGCCCGUUGGUCAAGGGGUUAAGACGCGUCCCUUUCACGGACGAAUCAGGGGUUCGAUUCCCCUACGGGCUACAA
RNAcentral lists this transfer RNA (75 nucleotides) under Bacteroidota bacterium. RNAcentral's name for it is "Bacteroidetes bacterium (aquatic metagenome) tRNA-Glu". It matches the Rfam family "tRNA". Rfam says of the family: Transfer RNA (tRNA) molecules are approximately 80 nucleotides in length. Lineage: Bacteria; Pseudomonadati; Bacteroidota. The record is from RNAcentral.